AUGCAAAACUGGGCUCCCAGCCAGGCUGAGCGGAAACGCAGGGAUCGGCCGUUUCCGCGAGCCAGGCCCGCGCCUGCACCCGCGCGUGCAAAGUCGCGAGCUAGGUCUCGUCUUCCGGUCCUGUCGGCUCGCAUUUUCCCCCGCUCCCCGCCGCUCUCUUCUCUGAUGCGACGCAUUUGGAUCUCGUCGUCCUCGCUGCAUCUACCGUUCGCCGUCGCAUCUCCUCACCGGUGCCAAGCCUACCAAACAACAUCUGAGGUGAGUCUGGCCCAUAUCAUGCAAGUACACCAAACACACAUCUCGACUCCAUCUUGCAUCAGAUGA
RNAcentral lists this ribosomal RNA (324 nucleotides) under Triticum aestivum (bread wheat). RNAcentral's name for it is "partial small subunit ribosomal RNA". The record is from RNAcentral. Lineage: Eukaryota; Viridiplantae; Streptophyta; Magnoliopsida; Poales; Poaceae.